GCCCAGACUCGAGCUUUUCUGACUCGUCAAUUUCCUGGAAGUCGGGCCCACUGAAAAACUCCAUAGGCAUUUACUGAGUGCCAACAAUACACCAGGCGCUCUUCUAGACCUGGCCACAUGUGGCUCCUGAGCAUGUGAAAGGGGACUAAUCCAAAUUCCACUGGAUUUUGAAGACUGUGAAAAAUAAAAAGAAGGAACCUCAUUCAAAACAACUGCAGCCUGAACAGGAAGAAAAUUACCUUGCAUCUCCAGCAGGAAGAUGGUUGUGACUUUACUGCCCAGCAGAAGGGAGGAAGAAUUCCUCCUCGCCUGGCAACAGCCCAGCCAAUGAGAAGCCACUACACUUCAAACUCCCAGUUUCCUCCAAUGGACUCUUAGUUCAGAAGAGCCCCUCCCAGUUCCCCUACUCCUCUAUAAAACACGUUCCGCUCCUCUGUUCCUAGGGCUUGCCUCUAGUUCCCCACGGGUUGCAAGUUUUGAAUGGCAAUUCUUUACUGUUCCUAA
This is a long non-coding RNA of Globicephala melas (long-finned pilot whale), 504 nucleotides long. RefSeq lists it as uncharacterized. The record is from RefSeq and is a predicted model, not a curated record. NCBI's taxonomy places the organism in Eukaryota, Metazoa, Chordata, Mammalia, Artiodactyla, Delphinidae.